RNAcentral lists this ribosomal RNA (728 nucleotides) under gamma proteobacterium GM1. RNAcentral's name for it is "bacterial SSU rRNA". It matches the Rfam family "Bacterial small subunit ribosomal RNA", at positions 70 to 796 of the family's 1533-position model. Lineage: Bacteria; Pseudomonadati; Pseudomonadota; Gammaproteobacteria. The record is from RNAcentral.
GAAAGUAAGCUUGCUAUCUUUGCUGACGAGCGGCGGACGGGUGAGUAAUGCUUGGGAACAUGCCUUGAGGUGGGGGACAACAGUUGGAAACGACUGCUAAUACCGCAUAAUGUCUACGGACCAAAGGGGGCUUCGGCUCUCGCCUUUAGAUUGGCCCAAGUGGGAUUAGCUAGUUGGUGAGGUAAUGGCUCACCAAGGCGACGAUCCCUAGCUGGUUUGAGAGGAUGAUCAGCCACACUGGGACUGAGACACGGCCCAGACUCCUACGGGAGGCAGCAGUGGGGAAUAUUGCACAAUGGGCGCAAGCCUGAUGCAGCCAUGCCGCGUGUGUGAAGAAGGCCUUCGGGUUGUAAAGCACUUUCAGUCAGGAGGAAAGGUUAGUAGUUAAUACCUGCUAGCUGUGACGUUACUGACAGAAGAAGCACCGGCUAACUCCGUGCCAGCAGCCGCGGUAAUACGGAGGGUGCGAGCGUUAAUCGGAAUUACUGGGCGUAAAGCGUACGCAGGCGGUUUGUUAAGCGAGAUGUGAAAGCCCCGGGCUCAACCUGGGAACUGCAUUUCGAACUGGCAAACUAGAGUGUGAUAGAGGGUGGUAGAAUUUCAGGUGUAGCGGUGAAAUGCGUAGAGAUCUGAAGGAAUACCGAUGGCGAAGGCAGCCACCUGGGUCAACACUGACGCUCAUGUACGAAAGCGUGGGGAGCAAACGGGAUUAGAUACCCCGGUAGUCC